UUUUCGCAAAACAAAAAAACUUUCUUUCUCUCCCUCCUUUCUUCCUCAAGCUGGAAGAAAAAUCCCAACUUCACCGACCCAGACGACCGGGUGGCAGCUAAACGCGUCGUCGCAGGGGUCCUUGAAUCGGGCCGAAUACUAUGUUCAGAGAGAGAGAGAAAAAGAGAGAAAUUAGUGUGGAAGAAGAGGAAGGAGGAGGAGAAUCAAAGAAAAAUGAAGGAGAGUUCUACUUUGAUGUGGGAUGACAUUGUUAAAAUACCUCCCGGAUGUUUCUACUAAUAACACCCAGAGGCAGUUACACAUGAGAAGGUCAUGACAUCUUUUAACUGGAUCAUUAAUUCAGUUUCAGUUGUUAUUUAAGAGUUGUCUUUUUAUAUUUUUAGCAUUAUAUCUUAUAUGUUAGAUAUGGAGAGACUACUGAAGUUAAGGACUGGGCAUGUAAUUAUCGAGAAAACAAUUACAAAGUGGAUUUUUAUGAAAUAUACUAUUUUUAU
Non-coding RNA from Corylus avellana, 494 nucleotides. Lineage: Eukaryota; Viridiplantae; Streptophyta; Magnoliopsida; Fagales; Betulaceae. The record is from RefSeq and is a predicted model, not a curated record.